ACGCGAACCUAAAAUAUAACCAAACAGUUG
RNAcentral lists this non-coding RNA (30 nucleotides) under Cricetulus griseus (Chinese hamster). The record is from RNAcentral. Lineage: Eukaryota; Metazoa; Chordata; Mammalia; Rodentia; Cricetidae.